This 73-nucleotide transfer RNA is filed under the name Magallana gigas (Pacific oyster). RNAcentral's name for it is "Crassostrea gigas (Pacific oyster) tRNA". It matches the Rfam family "tRNA". Rfam says of the family: Transfer RNA (tRNA) molecules are approximately 80 nucleotides in length. Their secondary structure includes four short double-helical elements and three loops (D, anti-codon, and T loops). Lineage: Eukaryota; Metazoa; Mollusca; Bivalvia; Ostreida; Ostreidae. The record is from Rfam by way of RNAcentral.
GGUCAGAUAGUUCAGUUGGUAGAGCACCUGACUAGAAAUUCAGGGGGCCCAGUUUUGAAUAUUGGUCUGCUCC